CCUACGGGAGGCAGCAGUGAGGAAUAUUGGUCAAUGGCCGAGAGGCUGAACCAGCCAAGUCGCGUGAGGGAAGACGGCCCUACGGGUUGUAAACCUCUUUUGUCGGGGAGCAAAGCGAACCACGUGUGGUUCCUUGAGAGUACCCGAAGAAAAAGCAUCGGCUAACUCCGUGCCCGCAGCCGCGGUAAUACGGAGGAUGCGAGCGUUAUCCGGAUUUAUUGGGUUUAAAGGGAGCGUAGAUGGGUUGUUAAGUCAGUUGUGAAAGUUUGCGGCUCAACCGUAAAAUUGCAAUUGAUACUGGCAGUCUUGAGUACAGUUGAGGUAGGCGGAAUUCGUGGUGUAGCGGUGAAAUGCUUAGAUAUCACGAAGAACUCCGAUUGCGAAGGCAGCUUACUAAACUGCCACUGACAUUGAUGCUCGAAAGUGUGGGUAUCAAACAGGAUUAGAUACCCCUGUAGUC
This 460-nucleotide ribosomal RNA is filed under the name uncultured bacterium. Its description in RNAcentral is "partial 16S ribosomal RNA". It matches the Rfam family "Bacterial small subunit ribosomal RNA", at positions 338 to 795 of the family's 1533-position model. The record is from RNAcentral.